This 380-nucleotide long non-coding RNA is filed under the name Vigna radiata. Its description in RNAcentral is "long non-coding RNA (VRAD_LNC003286)". Lineage: Eukaryota; Viridiplantae; Streptophyta; Magnoliopsida; Fabales; Fabaceae. The record is from RNAcentral.
AGGAAUUGGAUUCUACGUUUCAUCUUUCCUUACUAAAAACAAAAACAAAAAAGUAGCUAUCACUACGUACUCAUAUACAAUUUAUCAAUUCAAUCAACAUAUGAAUUAAUUUGCAUGUGAACGCUUAAACUGCAAGAAAAGUGCUUUGGCUAAACUAACUAGCAAUGAGCGCCAUUAUUAGAGAUCUCUGUCCCACAAUAUCACUGAUUUUGUUUAGGAAAAUUAUCAAACACUUGGUGCUCAACCACCAUCACGUCUUCUCUCUAUUAUACAAUUCGCUUCACAAGUUAAGUUCACUGUGCUCUUUUUAUCUUUUAUCAUUUUUUGCUUAAAAUGCACGCUCUCACAUCUCUUCUUUUUUUCAAUUACAUCUUCUCCAC